Pipistrellus kuhlii (Kuhl's pipistrelle) is the source of this 1043-nucleotide long non-coding RNA. RefSeq lists it as uncharacterized. Lineage: Eukaryota; Metazoa; Chordata; Mammalia; Chiroptera; Vespertilionidae. The record is from RefSeq and is a predicted model, not a curated record. The transcript has 5 exons.
GUGUGCUAAAGUCAACAGUCGCCGGGUUUGAGCUCAAAUAAAUGCGGGGAUGCCUGGGCUGGGAGCAGUCGGCCGCUGCCCUCCGCGCGCCGGACGCCGCACGGCCCGCCCGCAGCCCGAGCCCAGCAGGUCAGAAAGCCAAGGCUCUGCAGAGUUGAUAUCCUUGUCAGAGACCUUGUGAUUUAAGUGGAAUGGCCUCCUUUCCAGCGUAGGUCACAUUGACCUAAAAGACUGCCCAGGUGCACUGGACCCAGCUGUUCUUUAGUCCAGCCAGUGAGGAGUAAAGCACAAUGGCAGCAGUGCAGAAUACACGUUGAAGAUGAUAAUGACACUAAAGUCAAGGGACCUGGAUCUCUGAGUCAUCACUUGGAGGAGCACCAAGCAAUCCACAUUGGUGUUUCACAUCUUUCAGUAUGAUAAAUCUGUGAUGAAAACUAGACACCAGAAUUAAUUCUGCUUCCUUAUAAUCUAUGCACCUACUCCCACUGUAAGUAGUACUGAGCAGUAAAAUGAUCAUAAAAGAGAAGAAUAAAGUCAUGGGACUGCCCAGGUCUUGACCAACAUGAUCACUGACUCUAUCCAAGAAGAUCGUGAUCACAUCAAACAGUGGAAAAGGGAAAAUGUUGAGAUAACUUUGCACAUCUCUGUUUGGACCCACAACCUUUGAAGUAUUUUAUAGUUAUUUAAGAUUUGGAGACGGUGAUUGACUGUCGGUAAUUGCAAUGGUAGAAAGGAAAGCAUGCAUCAGGGGGCCUACUGGACUUGAUUCAGAUACUGGAAAACUUUUACUACUUUCGGAACCACUUGGGUAUGUGAACCUGCUCUUUCAAUUGCAAAAUGAAAUCUAAAUACAGAGCAACUGUAUCUGAAGUGAAUUUAACAUUUGUAUAGAGAUGCAUUCUAAGUGUAAAGUUCACCCCAGAUUUCUAGUACUUAAUACAGAAGAAGAAUGCAAAAUAUUUUAUUACUUUUAUAUUGCUUAUAUGUUGAAAUUAUGCUAUUUUGGAUGUAUUGGUUUCAAUAUAAUAUAUAAUUAAAAUUAA